GCCCUUAUAGCUCAGAGGUAGAGCGCAUCACUCGUAGUUGGGUAAUACCAUUUGCCAUGAUGAGGUCUCAGGUUCGACUCCUGAUGGGGGCA
Molecule: transfer RNA, 92 nt
Filed under: Cephalotrichum gorgonifer
Lineage: Eukaryota; Fungi; Ascomycota; Sordariomycetes; Microascales; Microascaceae
Description: transfer RNA-Thr(CGT)
Rfam family: tRNA
About the family: Transfer RNA (tRNA) molecules are approximately 80 nucleotides in length. Their secondary structure includes four short double-helical elements and three loops (D, anti-codon, and T loops). Further hydrogen bonds mediate the characteristic L-shaped molecular structure. tRNAs have two regions of fundamental functional importance: the anti-codon, which is responsible for specific mRNA codon recognition, and the 3' end, to which the tRNAs corresponding amino acid is attached (by aminoacyl-tRNA synthetases). tRNAs cope with the degeneracy of the genetic code in two manners: having more than one tRNA (with a specific anti-codon) for a particular amino acid; and 'wobble' base-pairing, i.e. permitting non-standard base-pairing at the 3rd anti-codon position.
Source: RNAcentral